This 2187-nucleotide ribosomal RNA is filed under the name Triticum aestivum (bread wheat). Its description in RNAcentral is "partial small subunit ribosomal RNA". The record is from RNAcentral. Lineage: Eukaryota; Viridiplantae; Streptophyta; Magnoliopsida; Poales; Poaceae.
AUGGGAAUGAGCCGGAGCAGGCGACGACACGGCAUGCCGCGUCGUUGCAUGCAGAGGCGAGUCCGUCACAUCCAUGACCCCACUAUCUAUCUUAGGGUUUUAGGGUUUAGGGUUGUUCUAGUGUUUGGAGUUGCAUUCAUCAAGGUGGUUGUGUUGUCAUGGCUUCAAAACCUUCUCCAGGUAUUGUUUACUGCUUUGUUAGUUGGUGAUGAGUUGAAUAGUUCUGAAAAGAAUGCCUGCGAUCAAGAUGGAGCUUCAGAAGUUAAUACUGAUGCUCCAAUAUCUGAUGCGGCUAAAUCACCCAUAAUCCCUUUGACUGUGAUUGCUGAGGUUGCUUCGAGCCUUGAGAAUUUUUCAAGCCUCGAGGAUCUUUCUUCUGCAGCUCUUGCUUCACCUAAUGUGUCCACAGAGGAGGAAGCUGUGAACACCAUCAACGAUGUUCUAUCUGAGUUGGAUUUAUCAGAAAACCCUGCUGCUACUAAGCAGGGGGCUCCGUUAGUCAAAGGUUGUGAUUCUCUUCUUUUGGAGGACCAACGUAAGAGGAAGAAGCAAGAAGAUUUUGACAAGAAGAGGGCGGCCCGCCUUCAGAAAGGUUCUGAUGUUCCUGGAUCUGUUCAUGCGGCUGAGCUCACGGUUAAGGAAGACGUGCCAUGUGGCAGUGAUGGCACGGUUGUCCCUGUUAAGAAGAAAAUCAAGAAGACCGCUGCGAGGAAGCAUGUAGUUGGUGAAGUUACUCCUCGGAGGAGCCCAUGUGUUUCAAGUCCUGCAAAAGUUGCUGAAGAUGAAGGGCUAGGCCUCGGUGGUACGCCACGCCGUAGUCCUCAUGUGCUUGCCACUGCCGUGCCUACACCUUGUCCGCUUGGUGCUUGUGCAUCUGGUAAGGGGAAGAAAUGCGGCGUCAAGCGCAAGGUUCCACCUGCAAAGGUCAACAAGGGUGAGAAGAAGCGUUCUCGUGUUAAUCCAGAAGACAAGGAUGAUGCUGAUUUCAACGCUGAUGACGAGGACGACGAUGAUGAUGAUGCUGCCGCUAGUCAGUAUCAGCUUGUGGAGCGGCCUGGGAGGAGGAAGAGAGGAGGCAAAGCACCCGAAGAAGGUGGCCAAGGAGGAGGUGAGGCGAAAUGUUUUAACAAGACGGUUCGCUGCUCACUAGGAGAGGUCAAGAUGUGUGCGAAAAUGCUACAAUCUAGGCACAAGACGAGGGUUAUCAAGGCUGGUUUUGGUUGUGUGUUUGACUUGAAGGUUGAUUCCAACAUUUCUCGUCCUUUGAUGGGCAACAUCUACACGAGGAUUGACCCUACAACCAUGAUUCUGGACAUGGGUGAGGCGAACAAGGUUCUUCGUCUUACAAGUGAUGCUAUUCACCAUCUGUUUGGAUUCCCUCAAGGUAAUCGUACCCCUCCUAGGCCCUCGAAUGAUGGUUUCGAUGAUGCUAUUAUGAGGUUGAAGGGCAAGCUUGGGUAUGCUAGGAGUGACGACAUCAAGACAAAGGAUUUACGGAAUAUCCUCGCGGAACUUGUGAAGGAUGAGAUGAAGGAUGAUCUUGCUCUGCAGGUGUUUUACCUUAUUGUUUUCAUGAAGGUGGUUAUCCCUGUAACGUCUACACGAGUGUCCAGGGAGGCAGCAAUGGCCGAGAAUCUUGUGUUUGAGGAUAUGGCAGACAUGGACUACUGCCAGUUGGUUAGGAGCAACUCUAUGGAGAGGAUGCAGCAGCGAAUUAGGCAGAUCGCCGGCGGCGACCAGGCAAAGUUAGCCAGGUUGAAGGAGAUCCUUAGUUGGUUUGAUAAUGAAUGGGAGAUUUCGAGGACGGUGCGGGCCAUGUGGCAAUGUAUGCGAAAGAGCGAGACGGCGGCGAUGAGGGCGGCGAUGUACAUGUACUCCUCGGCGGCAGUCACGCCGCAGUCCUCCGAGUUCAUCGAGUAUCUCCUCUGGGCGAUGGAGCAGACAGAUUCGCCCGAGGCGACAGUUAGGCGGAGGUGGUGGGCGUACAGGUCGAAGGUCGAGCACCCAGAGGAUAACGAAUCGAUCGAGUAUGGUGUGCCGUUCGUGAGGGUGCAGAGCCAGCCGGAGCCACAUGAGUAUUCGUUCUCCCACCGCAAGAGGAGGCCGGAUGGCGCGACGUUGCUUCCCCGCCGUUCUCCACGGUUCCCUCGACGCUCGCCUCGUUUCAACGGCGGCGGUAGGGUUUAA